AAAUUGAAGAGUUUGAUCAUGGCUCAGAUUGAACGCUGGCGGCAGGCCUAACACAUGCAAGUCGGACGGUAGCACAGAGGAGCUUGCUCCUUGGGUGACGAGUGGCGGACGGGUGAGUAAUGUCUGGGGAUCUGCCCGAUAGAGGGGGAUAACCACUGGAAACGGUGGCUAAUACCGCAUAACGUCGCAAGACCAAAGAGGGGGACCUUCGGGCCUCUCACUAUCGGAUGAACCCAGAUGGGAUUAGCUAGUAGGCGGGGUAAUGGCCCACCUAGGCGACGAUCCCUAGCUGGUCUGAGAGGAUGACCAGCCACACUGGAACUGAGACACGGUCCAGACUCCUACGGGAGGCAGCAGUGGGGAAUAUUGCACAAUGGGCGCAAGCCUGAUGCAGCCAUGCCGCGUGUAUGAAGAAGGCCUUCGGGUUGUAAAGUACUUUCAGCGGGGAGGAAGGCGACA
RNAcentral lists this ribosomal RNA (459 nucleotides) under Pantoea agglomerans. Its description in RNAcentral is "bacterial SSU rRNA". It matches the Rfam family "Bacterial small subunit ribosomal RNA", at positions 1 to 456 of the family's 1533-position model. Lineage: Bacteria; Pseudomonadati; Pseudomonadota; Gammaproteobacteria; Enterobacterales; Erwiniaceae. The record is from RNAcentral.